CAACAACAACAUAGACUAGCUAAAACAUCGUUCAGGGGCACUAGAGAUUUGAAAAGAGAUAUUAGACCAUAGCACAGGUCUGGUCUGUUGACUUACCUUGGUUCAAGGAUCAUGUGAAUAGUUUCCCGAACUGUUUCCGGUUGGCAAAAAAAAGAGGCAGCAGCAGCAACUUUAAUCUGCGUGUUCGGUUUUGCAAUCGUUUUGCUUGGUUGUAAAGAGCCGAGAAGUCCUGACUAGCAAGAGACUUGUGUGAAUUCGUGAAAGCACCUAUAUCCGGAUUGGGGCGUUCAAAGUUGACAUUUGGCUUUGAUCUAAUCAAGCUUGAUUGCACUGGGAAAAGUGCAACGUGUAUGGUGUAAGUAGCAGUGUUGUAGUGUGACUCAAUGAUGGUUCCCUUGGACCCUAUGGGACCACCAGUGAUAAACGGGGGUGGAGGAAGGGUCGGAACCAUGGGAGGGGGAGAUGGAAUAGGAUCCGAUGGCUCGCUAGGCGCUAGUGGAAUCAACACCAUCAGUAUAGCAACAGUUGGCGCUAACGCAUCAUUUCGCCGAACGGAUGACGAAUACAGGAGCAAACUAAUGAAGACUACUGUUAGAAAUUAUGGUGAGUACAUAAACAACCCAAAUAUUUCAAUGACCGAAACGAGAUAAUGCAAAUAUCUCGCUAUUCAAUCACAAUUUGCCAUUGAACUGAAUAAACGAACUACACGAUGGAAUAG
Long non-coding RNA from Uranotaenia lowii, 718 nucleotides. RefSeq lists it as uncharacterized. Lineage: Eukaryota; Metazoa; Arthropoda; Insecta; Diptera; Culicidae. The transcript has 3 exons. The record is from RefSeq and is a predicted model, not a curated record.